UACAGGGGGUGCAAACGUUGCUCGGAAUCAUUGGGCGUAAAGCGCACGUAGGCGGCUGAGUAAGUCAGGCGUGAAAUCCCCCGGCUCAACCGGGGAACUGCGCUUGAUACUGCUCGGCUUGAGGUCCGGAGGGGAGAGUGGAAUUCCCGGUGGAGCGGUGAAAUGCGUAGAGAUCGGGAAGAACGCCGGCGGCGAAAGCGACUCUCUGGUCGGAUCCUGACGCUGAGGUGCGAAAGCUAGGGGAGCAAACGGG
Molecule: ribosomal RNA, 253 nt
Filed under: uncultured bacterium
Lineage: Bacteria
Description: partial 16S ribosomal RNA
Rfam family: Bacterial small subunit ribosomal RNA
Source: RNAcentral